Molecule: non-coding RNA, 616 nt
Organism: Pelobates cultripes (western spadefoot toad)
Lineage: Eukaryota; Metazoa; Chordata; Amphibia; Anura; Pelobatidae
Source: the annotation of a GenBank genome assembly
CAGAAACAUGACUUCCUCUUUCUUUGCUGCUUACCAGCCAAGGCACAGGUCAGAGUAUUUUGCUCCAAACUGUUGUACUGAUAUUGCAAAUUGUCAUUAGUUAAUCAUUUAUUGCUUAACAUUCAGUUUUGCUCCAAACUGUUUUUAUUAAUAUUGCUAUGGUCACUGUAGUUAGACACCUUAUGCUAGACAUUCAGUUUUAAUCCAAACUGGUUUUCUGGAUAUUGCAAUGGUCACUUUAAUUAAACUUUAUUAAUUGACUUUCAGUUUGCUCCAACUGUUUUUAUUAAUAUUGCUAUGGUCACUUUAGUUAGAUUUUUAAUGCUAGACAUUCAGUUUUGCUCCAAACCGUUUCUGGAUAUGCAUGGCCACUUUAGUUAAACUUUAUUAGCUUGUCCUGCAAUUUUGGCCUAAACGUUUUUCAUUAUUUUGCACUUGCCUUCCAUUUGGACUUGUAUAGUGUGAUAUUCUCCCCCUGUUACCCUUCCCCCGAAUUAACCCUGUUUUUUCUGCUUUAUUAGCCUGUUUGGUUUUCUGUUGCUGGUACCUUUUCUUUCCUAUGCUUUACUCUGGUCUCGCACGGAUCGCAGCGUUUUACCGCGAUCGCGGCAUUUUA